This 616-nucleotide ribosomal RNA is filed under the name Bacillus pumilus. Its description in RNAcentral is "bacterial SSU rRNA". It matches the Rfam family "Bacterial small subunit ribosomal RNA", at positions 397 to 1004 of the family's 1533-position model. Lineage: Bacteria; Bacillati; Bacillota; Bacilli; Caryophanales; Bacillaceae. The record is from RNAcentral.
CCGCGUGAGUGAUGAAGGUUUUCGGAUCGUAAAGCUCUGUUGUUAGGGAAGAACAAGUGCAAGAGUAACUGCUUGCACCUUGACGGUACCUAACCAGAAAGCCACGGCUAACUACGUGCCAGCAGCCGCGGUAAUACGUAGGUGGCAAGCGUUGUCCGGAAUUAUUGGGCGUAAAGGGCUCGCAGGCGGUUUCUUAAGUCUGAUGUGAAAGCCCCCGGCUCAACCGGGGAGGGUCAUUGGAAACUGGGAAACUUGAGUGCAGAAGAGGAGAGUGGAAUUCCACGUGUAGCGGUGAAAUGCGUAGAGAUGUGGAGGAACACCAGUGGCGAAGGCGACUCUCUGGUCUGUAACUGACGCUGAGGAGCGAAAGCGUGGGGAGCGAACAGGAUUAGAUACCCUGGUAGUCCACGCCGUAAACGAUGAGUGCUAAGUGUUAGGGGGUUUCCGCCCCUUAGUGCUGCAGCUAACGCAUUAAGCACUCCGCCUGGGGAGUACGGUCGCAAGACUGAAACUCAAAGGAAUUGACGGGGGCCCGCACAAGCGGUGGAGCAUGUGGUUUAAUUCGAAGCAACGCGAAGAACCUUACCAGGUCUUGACAUCCUCUGACAACCCUAGA